RNAcentral lists this ribosomal RNA (1431 nucleotides) under metagenome. Its description in RNAcentral is "bacterial SSU rRNA". It matches the Rfam family "Archaeal small subunit ribosomal RNA". The record is from RNAcentral.
GUUGAUCCUGCGGGAGACUGCUGCUAUUGGAAUUCGACUAAGCCAUGCAAGUCAAGGGGUUCUUCGGAACACCGGCAAAAUGCUCAGUAACACGUCGAUAAUCUGCCCUUUAGUCUGGGAUAGCCUUGGAAAACUGAGGGUAAACCCGGAUAGGAGUAUUUGUCUGGAAUGAUCUUUCUCUGAAAGGUAACGCUAAAGGAUGGGUCGGCGGCGGAUUAGGUUGUUGGCGGGGUAACGGCCCACCAAGCCGAAGAUCCGUAGGGGCCUUGAGAGAGGUAGCCCCGAGAAGGACACUGAGAUACUGGUCCUAGCCCUACGGGGUGCAGCAGGCGCGUAACCUUUACAAUGCACGAAAGUGUGAUAGGGGAAUUCCAAGUGCCAAUACUUUGUAUUGGCUUUUGUUAAGACUAAGAAUCUUGGCGAAUAAGUGGUGGGAAAGACUGGUGCCAGCCGCCGCGGUAACACCAGCGCCACGAGUGGGAGUCGCUUUUAUUGGGCCUAAAGCGUCCGUAGCCGGUUUAGUAAAUCCUUUGUGAAAUUGUUAAGCUUAACUUAACAACGAGCAGGGGACACUGCUGAACUAGAAACCGGGAGGAGUUGAAGGUAUUCUGGGGGGAGCGGUAAAAUGCUAUAAUCCCCAGCAGACCACCUGUGGCGAAGGCGUUCAACUAGAACGGAUUUGACGGUGAGGGACGAAAGCCAGGGGAGCGAACCGGAUUAGAUACCCGAGUAGUCCUGGCAGUAAACGCUGCGAGCUAGGUGUUGCAUAUUCUUCGUGAAUGUGCAGUGUCGAAGCGAAGGUGUUAAGCUCGCCGCCUGGGAAGUAUGGUCGCAAGACUGAAACUUAAAGGAAUUGGCGGGGGAGCACUACAAGGGGUGCGGCGUGCGGUUUAAUCUAACUCAACGCAGAGAAUCUCACCAGAAGCGACGGCAGGAUGAAAGUCAGGCUGAUGGUCUUACUUGACGAGCCGAGAGGUAGUGCAUGGCCGUCGUCAGCUCGUGCCGUAAGGUGUCCUCUUAAGUGAGGCAACGAGCGAGACCUGUACCCACAAUUGCUAGCGACUCUUUUAGAGGAUCGAGCACUUUGUGGGGACUGCCUUGGAAACAAGGAGGAAGGUGCAGGCUACGGUAGGUCUGUAUGCUCCGAAUCUUCUGGGCUACACGCGCGCAACAAUGGUAGGGACAAUGGGAUGCAACUCCGAAAGGAGAAGCUAAACCUCUAAACCCUAUCCCAGUCCAGAUUGAGGGUUGAAACUCACCCUCAUGACGCCGGAAUCCCUAGUAACCAGACUUCAUCAUAGUCCGGUGAAUGUGUCCCUGCUCCUUGCACACACCGCCCGUCAAACCAACCGAGCAGGGUUUAGAUGAGUCUCAGCCUAUUAGCUAAGCCGAAUCUAAGCUCAGUGAGGUGGGUUAAGUCGUCACAAGGUA